This 440-nucleotide ribosomal RNA is filed under the name uncultured bacterium. RNAcentral's name for it is "partial 16S ribosomal RNA". It matches the Rfam family "Bacterial small subunit ribosomal RNA", at positions 338 to 795 of the family's 1533-position model. The record is from RNAcentral.
CCUACGGGAGGCAGCAGUGGGGAAUAUUGCACAAUGGGGGAAACCCUGAUGCAGCGACGCCGCGUGAGCGAUGAAGGAUUUCGGUAUGUAAAGCUCUAUCAGCAGGGAAGAAAAUGACGGUACCUGACUAAGAAGCCCCGGCUAACUACGUGCCAGCAGCCGCGGUAAUACGUAGGGGGCAAGCGUUAUCCGGAUUUACUGGGUGUAAAGGGAGCGUAGACGGCUGAGCAAGCCAGAUGUGAAAGCCCGGGGCUCAACUCCGGGACUGCAUUGGAAACUGUGUGGCUGGAGUGCUGGAGAGGCAGGCGGAAUUCCUAGUGUAGCGGUGAAAUGCGUAGAUAUUAGGAGGAACACCAGUGGCGAAGGCGGCCUGCUGGACGGUAACUGACGUUGAGGCUCGAAAGCGUGGGGAGCAAACAGGAUUAGAUACCCUGGUAGUC